UACGUAGGGAGCAAGCGUUGUCCGGAAUCAUCGGGCGUAAAGCGCGCGUAGGUGGCCUCAUAAGUCCGCUGUGAAAGUCAAAGGCUCAACCUUUGAAAGCCGGUGGAUACUGUGGGGCUAGAGUACGGAAGAGGCGAGUGGAAUUCCUGGUGUAGCGGUGGAAUGCGCAGAUAUCAGGAGGAACACCAAUAGCGAAGGCAGCUCGCUGGGACGUUACUGACACUGAGGCGCGAAAGCGUGGGGAGCGAACAGG
RNAcentral lists this ribosomal RNA (253 nucleotides) under uncultured bacterium. RNAcentral's name for it is "partial 16S ribosomal RNA". It matches the Rfam family "Bacterial small subunit ribosomal RNA", at positions 524 to 776 of the family's 1533-position model. The record is from RNAcentral.